Molecule: ribosomal RNA, 274 nt
Filed under: uncultured bacterium
Lineage: Bacteria
Description: partial 16S ribosomal RNA
Rfam family: Bacterial small subunit ribosomal RNA
Source: RNAcentral
AGACGAACCGGGCGAACGUUAUUCGGAAUCACUGGGCCUAAAGCGUGCGUAGGCGGCUUGGCAAGUUGGGUGUGAAAGCCCUCGGCUCAACCGAGGAACUGCGCCCAAAACUGCCAGGCUUGAGGGAGAUAGAGGUGAGUGGAACUAAUGGUGGAGCGGUGAAAUGCUUUGAUAUCAUUAGGAACACCGGUGGCGAAAGCGGCUCACUGGGUCUCUUCUGACGCUGAGGCACGAAAGCUAGGGGAGCGAACGGGAUUAGAAACCCCAGUAGUCC